ACUUGUGGGUGGGGAACAUCAUCAUCUUGAUGACCUCAGCAGUGCACACUGUAUAGUCACCGUGACUUCUUUUCCUGUGCCCUUCUUCUAGGUGAGUGUAGCUCAAUGUCUUAACAAAAAGAAGGCCAUGCAAGGCUGCAGCUUUACCUCAUUUUCUGCUCUGAGGGCAGAAAACUCACUCUUCUCCAAGAUGAUCAUAUCUUUCUUCACGUUAGCAAUCUUAGAUAUAAUUUGCUGAAGAGUGAUUUCCUAGAAAAAGAGAAAAAUGACACGUGGAAUCUUGUCCGGUCCCCUGAAACCUCCUUCUUCUUACCUCUACCUGCUAACGGGGCUAAAAAGAAACCAGAACAGCGUGUGAGACUGGGAAGGUCACCUCUGCUCCAAAGUGAGAAGCAGCCUUCAGAUGAAGAUGUAGAACUCUCAGCUCUGCCUGCACCAUGCCUGCCUGGAUGCUGCCAUGCUCCCACCUUGAUGAUAAUGGACUGAACCUCUGAACCUAAACAACUGGAACCAGAAAUAGCAAGCUUGGUUGAAGAAAGCUGGCUUCUAAAAAAAAGCUCCGGAAAGAGAAGAGUUUGUUGAACUUAUUACCUCCAAACAGCUAGAAAAGUGUCAGGCAGAGAACAGGCAACAGCGGACCAUGAAAGAAUCAAUAGUUUGGAAUCAAAGGAAAACGGCAUCCCUUCAUUC
This is a non-coding RNA of Rattus norvegicus (Norway rat), 690 nucleotides long. The record is from RefSeq and is a predicted model, not a curated record. NCBI's taxonomy places the organism in Eukaryota, Metazoa, Chordata, Mammalia, Rodentia, Muridae.